GCAAAACAUUUCAUCACGUUACAAACCAUCAAUUCAAUUCAAACAUAACACCACUUCGAAUACAGUAUAUCACAUUAACCAACACAACAACAUAACUAAGGAAAACAUUUUUUUGGCAGAGAAAUUAAAGAGUAGAAAGAGGAUCACUUGAGUAACGCACAACAAGACUGCACCUCCAAUGGAAAGAAAUUUUAACCUGCAACACGCAAAUAAAAAUAAAAAUUAAUAAAUAAAUAAAUAAAAAGUAAAAAAUAAUUAAAAAUAAGUAAGGCGAUCGAUAUGAGUUGAGCUUCAUUAAAACCUUACCCAGGAACACACACUCCAGAAAACCAAUGCUCAACAUGUAAACCAACAAUAUAAUAAAAAUGUUAUUAUUGAAUAUGAAUAUAAAAACAUAUAAUGAGUUUGAGAAUGCAUAUAUGUAUUUAAAGAUAAAGAGGAAUAAGUGAAGGUGAAGUAAAUUUGUAAAGAUAAAGAGGAAUAAGUAAAGAUGGGGAAUAAGUAUGAGUGAAGUAAAUUAGUAAACAUAGGAAUAAAUAAAGAUAAAGAGGAAUAAGUGUGAGUGAAGUAAAUUAGCAAAGAUACAUAGGAAUAAACAUAAGGAGCUUGUGAUACUAACUAUAUAUAGAGGUGGUGGGUGCGACUAUGCUUCACCAAUAGUUAGUGAAUACAUAAUUUCUAAGGGUAAAUUAAAUACUUUUUUGUUUCAUUUUCUACUUAAUGGUCCAACAUAUGUGCAUUUUUAUGUCCGUGUCUUAACGUAAAUCUCUUUGUCAGGGUCAAUCCUGUUAUUUCGAGGACAUUAGAUGAAAACGAAAAAAUUGGUUCCUUAAAAAAUUAAACUUUAAUAUUUUUAUUGUUAGCUAUAAAUAGCAUAUAUCAUACAUCUUCCAUGCUUGUGUAACGAUAUAACUUUUAUCUAUAAAGUGCAAUAACCAAAAAACAAUGAUCAAAUAUUUAUUAAAAUAAUUUAUAAGAAACUAACAUUUCAAAAUAUAAAAUCAUCAAUAACAACUUCAAGAUCAAGUGUUCCAAAUUUCCAUUCCUUAUUUUCAACGCAUAAAAUGAUUUUGUUAAGCUAUAGUAAUUGGUAUAGUUAGCAUCCUAUAUAUUAUAGAAAUAAGAGAAACAAUGCGAAGUUUUAACAAAUUCAAUAACUUCGCCAAUCGACUUUAUUAUGAUGGCAACACAUUUCUAUCAGCUUGCAAUUCAAAAAAUAAAUCUUCGGGAUUAAUGUCAUGAAUUUAAGAUUAAUAAAUAUUAAGUUAUAAUUAAUGAGGAAGAAGCCCCGUUUCAGAGAAGAGAGAAGAACGAGGUAUGCGAAGCUACUUAGUUUUGUCAAAUAAUUUUAUUUUUUCUAAUGAAUUUAAAAUUAAUAAUAUUAGAUUAUAAUCAAUGAAAAUAUUUUUUUAUUAAUUAUAUUUUAAUAUAAUUUUUAAGAUAAUUAAUUAGAUUUCACCCAUUCAAUUAGGAUUUAUAAUUAUUUAUUAUAUUUAUAUGAAUUAAAAAAUUAAUUAUUAUGAUUAAUUAAUCAAAAAUUAGGACGGUAUAAUUUAAUUUUUAAUUUUGAUUUUUAGUAAUAAAGUAUUAAUUAAAGUUCAUUAUAUAAUACUAAUGAAAUUAAGAACACGACCACAAUAAGUUGUGGGACAGAGAAUCUCAUUCAAAUUCUCGUAAUUUCAUUUCUAAGAAAUACCCGCAACCGCUACUCGUAAGUACAACUUGCAAUGAACCAACAACAUCUCUUGGUUGCUGGGAGGAUGCCUAUCAUGCCGAUUUCCAAACAACAGUGCAGAGAGCAUAAGUUGAUGAGAUACCUUACCCGAUUGGAGACUACUAAUAGAUGAAAAUUGAAGGGACAUGGCUGACUUUGUGGAAAUCCUCUCCUGAUGCCGAUACCCUCUUCCCCAAUUCCAGCAUUCCAAAAAUCAUCAGUUCCCGAAGAGUAGAAAUGCCACUCAAUCCAUCUGGAACCAUCUCAAGACUAGAACUAUAAUAGAUGUGUAAUGUAGAGAGAAGGGGCAUGGAUCCUGCCUCCACUCUCCACUCCCUCAACUUUGGUAACUGACAUAAAAAGAUCUUGAGACGAGGAAACUAUUUGAUGGACACGUCAUCUCCUCCCCAACAAAUGAUUCCGCAAUAAAAACAAAGCAGUCAAACAAGGAAGCUUUCCCAAUAUCCCCAUUGGAUCAUCCUCAAUCUCACAUGCUAAUAAGAACAACUUCGUAAGUUUAGAGCUCAUGAAAUCACGCCCGCACUCAGCCAGCGCCUUCCCUAUCUUAACACUAAUCCACAAGGAAUGAAGAUUGGGACAUGUGAAUGCCUUGUUCAACACUCCCUCAUUUGUAACUAACUCGCAACCCUCUUCGAUAUAAACCACACAAAACACCAACUUGUUCCAAUCGGUAGCAAUGCAUUCAUGAUAGCUAACAAGCUUUCAUUGUCGUGUAUGCUUGCAUCAAAGCGUCGGAGAUUCUUCAUUCUACCUAUACAUUUUAACUCAUGCACUCUACUAUCCAACCCGAUCAGACUCUCCAACACAUCCACCCCCUCGUCCAAUGUUAAUCGAUAACUUCCAAUAUUUUCCUCAUCAUAAUUGGGAAGAGCCAAGUGUUUUAAACAUAACAUCUCCUUGAAAACAUUUGGAACUUCAACAUUAUACGAACUAGUUAAAUCAAGGGUAUCCAUGUAUACCAAAUUCCUUAUGGACAACGGUAGCUUAUCAAAUUCACAUUUUUCUAAACGCAAACGUCUAAGGUGAACAAGAUUAGUGAUUCCUUUCGGUAACUUUCUUCCUUGAAAUUUGAAUCCAACCAUAACUAGAUCCCUCAGCAAUUUGAAUUUCUGAAAAUCAACGAUACUUUGUAGGGAAAACUCAACAGCAUUUCUGUGAUUGACCAUUUGAAGAGACCUUAAAUAUUUGCUACUAUCUUCUCCAAGCUUGUCAGGUUCCAGUCCGACUUCUCUUCUGAAAUGGAUAGCCAAAUGUAGUACUUUCAUAUGCGAGGAAGCUUGCUGUAGUAAGGUACUAAGUUUUCCAGUUUGACACUCCAAACUUAGCACACCAAAAUCCUCUCUUUUCCCCAAUUUCAAACAUAGUUGUCUUACUACAUCAUGAAGUUUGCAGCUCCUAUACUUUUCCCCAGGUGUGACACCAUCAUCAAUUUCAACUUGGACGAUGGACCUAGAGGCCAACUCACCCAAGUAGAUUUCCGCGAUUUCCAUUAAAGUUUCCUCAUUGUCUCGAAUAUUCUCAUGUGAAACCAUACCUUGUGCUAUCCAUCUAGUAUAUAGAUCCUCAACAUCUAUAUCUUCAUCCUCUUAAAAUAAACCCAUAUAGAGAAAGCAAGGCUUCAAAUAAUAGGGUAGACUUUCAUAGCUUAAAUUUAGCACUCCAUCAAUCUCAUUUUCAUCUCUGUAUAUGUAAUUUUUGAUAUCCCUAUUUACCAACUCCCACUCCUUGAUCGAAUUUUUCAUUCUCAAGACCCCACCGAGUAAAGAAUUGCCAACGGCAAAUACCCACAUUUCUUCACCAUUUCUUCCCAAUUUCUCAAAUUCUCUUCCAUACAAACUCUGCAUUCAAUUGAAAUAAUGAAAAUGAAUAAUUUUUACACUGCCACAACAUGCAUGCACAUCAUUUACCAACAAUGGAAAGCAUAUAUAAUUAAUUUGUAAAAUAGCCAAAAGCCAACUAGAACAUAUUAUGAACUGAUCACCUGGAAUGUUUGUUUGGGGAAAUGCUUUCUUCUUGAGUAGUUCCAAAGCAUGUUCCACCUUUAGAAGCCCAAGUUCUAUUGGGAAUCCAAUCUCUGCAACCUUUCGUUCACGCGUGGUGAUUAAGAUCUUGCUCUGCAAAUCCUGGACAAGAAAGGUAUGCUUGAGACCAUCCCAAUGUGAAGUCUCCCAAAGAUCGUCCACAACAAUCAGGCAUCGCUUCUCUCUUUGUAUCUCACACAGUUGCCCGAUCAACGCCGUGUCACUCACAUUAUUCUCAUUAACCUUUUCUAGUCUUAGCUGGCUGAGAAUAUCCUCCAAAACUGAUUUUACCUGACAUUGCUGAGAUAUACAAACCCACGCGAAAGACUCAAAGCAACUGCUUUUGGUGUGUUUGAUGUGGUUGUAUACCUUUCUAGCAAUGGUGGUCUUGCCUGAACCUCCCAUGCCCCAUACUGAAAUAACUCGAUGCUCUUUGUCCUCGACUAGCAGAUAUUCAAGCUGCUUCAGCUCAUCCUCCAUCCGCACAAAACACUCUCCAAUCUCGAAUUCGGGAAAGGUUUUCCUCGACCAAUUUUUGUUUUCGCCGGCAGCUGAGCUUUCCCCUCCAUUUGUAGUGUUGAUGAUGCUCUUCUUUAUGCCAUUUUCUUGCAUUUCCUUGUUUAUCCUUUCAAGACGGGAUUUGAUCGGUGAAAUCUCGGAGCCUAGUUGGUGGAUCGACUUGUAUUCUUCCAAACUACAACUACAUCUGCGGACGAGCUGUCUGAGGCCUCGUCUUCUCCUUGAACACACUUGAUAAGCUGCGUGUCUUUCAAUGGCAGCUUCGGCUCUGUACACAAGAUCUCUGAUCUCCGAGAUCAAAUUGAAAAUGGUUUUGCUUUCAUGUCGUCUUCUGUCAGCAUCUUCAGGAGACACUUCAUCUGUUUCAGCUGGAUCUCGAGCUCCCUCACUUCAUCGCCCACACCAUAUAGAAACCUUGCUUCUUCCAACACAAAUCGCGCAAGGUUUCUAGAGCCAUUGACACCACUGCUUCUGCCAUUGCAACAAUUCGAGGUGAGACUCAGAUAUCUUUGGUCUAAUUGAUUGGUGGAACACUCUUGAUUUGCUAGUGAUGAGAGGGAAGUAAAUUAGUGAAGAUGAAGAGGAAUAUAAGUAUAAAGGAACUUGUGGUCGUAAUUUUAGAGCUGGUGAGUACAACUACCCUUCACCAAUAGUCAACACAUAUUAAAUAAUUUGGUCUUACACCAAGUGGAGAAUAAAUUUAGAAGAUAUUUAAAAGGGAGAAAUGAACAUCAAAAUUUAUUGUUGCAAUUCUUAAAUGAUUUGUUGGAUGAGUUUUUUUAUUUUUUUAAUUAAUAUUGAAUGUGAAUGAAAUUGCAAAUAAAGAAUAUGUGUACCAAAAUAUAAACAGAGAUCAAAAUGACAACCUCUCCACUAUGCACAUUUUUAUGUCGUGGCCUAACGUAAACCUCUUUGUUAAGGUCGGUCCAAAUAUUUCGAGGGACUUGAGAAAAAAUGAAAAAAAUUGGCUUCUUAAGAAAUGAAAUUGAUAUUUUUAUUAUCAGCUAUAAAUGGUUCAUAAUCGUUUUCCAUAUUUGUGUGACUAUAUAACUUUAAUUUAUAAAGUACAAUAACCAAACAACAAUAAUUAAAUAUUUAUAGAAAUAAUGUAGAUCUUCUAAACAUUUUGAGAAAUAAAAUCAUUAAUUACACCUCCAAGAUCAAGAAUUUUAUUUAACUCAUUUCUAAUACAUAAAAAUAUUUUGUUGAAGCUACAAUAUUUAACAAUAUCUAUAGAAAAUAAAUAUGAGAAAAAAAUACAAAGUUUUAACAAACUCAAGAACUUCACCAAUCAACUUUAAUUGACAAGUCAUGAAGAUUGGAGCUCAUCAUGAAGUCACGCCCACACCACUCUGCCAGCGCCUUCCCUAUCUUAACUCUAAUUGACAAGUCAUGAAGAUUGGGACAUGUGAAUGCCUUGUUCAACACUCCCUCAUUUGUUUCUAACUCACAAUCCCCCGUGAUUUCAACUGAACAAUACACUAACUUGUUCAUGUUAGCAAUGGCGUCGAUUAUGGAUGACAAGCAUUUGUUGUCCAUGCUAGCUGUCGUUCAAGCAGCCGUGGCGGCUGAUGUUGCGCGUAUGAGGAGUGGUCUUCUUUGCAGCCAAUGCAAAGCAUGUGACACAGAUAAGUGCCUUCCUAGUGAUGCAUACCCUCACAUCACAUGGCUGCUUUUGAUGAUUCCCUAAUUGCUAGCGCAUUCCGUUGCCUAAUCUUGUAUAGCAGGAUAUUUUUUGGAAAACGUUAAAAAAUGGAGUUGUACAUGUUUAAUAAAAAACGAAAGUUGAAGACAUUUUUCUUAAAAACACUGAAAGUUGGGACACAAAGCAUAAUUAAUCCUUAUACAUAUAUGUGUGGAUGUAAAUAUUAGGAAGGCUUGUGUUCUUGGAAAUGAGUGAAAAUGUUCUUGCAAAAGCAAGUUGUAAGUUCAUUUCACUCAAUAAUAAAAUGAUUACAUAAAUAAUUAAAGCAAAACAUUUCAUCAGAGCAGAAUAACGUAGAAUAGCAACAACUUGAUUAGCUAGGCUUUACAAACCAUCAAUUCAAUUCAAACAUAACACCACUUUGAAUACAGUAUAUCUCUUAUUAACCAACACAACUUUAAAUUACCUGGAUUCUAAACAUUUCCUCACACACAAUUACAUAACUAAGAAAAACAUUUUUUUGCAGAGAAAAGAGUACAAAGAGGAAGACUUGAGAAAUGCAGCAACGACACUGC
RNAcentral lists this long non-coding RNA (6495 nucleotides) under Salvia miltiorrhiza (redroot sage). Its description in RNAcentral is "long non-coding RNA (SMIL_LNC001954)". Lineage: Eukaryota; Viridiplantae; Streptophyta; Magnoliopsida; Lamiales; Lamiaceae. The record is from RNAcentral.